GUGGGGAAUAUUGGACAAUGGGCGAAAGCCUGAUCCAGCCAUGCCGCGUGUGUGAAGAAGGUCUUCGGAUUGUAAAGCACUUUAAGUUGGGAGGAAGGGCUUCUGGUUAAUACCUGGGAGUUUUGACGUUACCGACAGAAUAAGCACCGGCUAACUCUGUGCCAGCAGCCGCGGUAAUACAGAGGGUGCAAGCGUUAAUCGGAAUUACUGGGCGUAAAGCGCGCGUAGGUGGUUUGUUAAGUUGGAUGUGAAAGCCCCGGGCUCAACCUGGGAAUUGCAUCCAAAACUGGCAGACUAGAGUACGGUAGAGGGUGGUGGAAUUUCCUGUGUAGCGGUGAAAUGCGUAGAUAUAGGAAGGAACACCAGUGGCGAAGGCGACCACCUGGACUGAUACUGACGCUGAGGUGCGAAAGCGUGGGGAGCAAACAGGAUUAGAAACCCCGGUAGUCC
Molecule: ribosomal RNA, 450 nt
Filed under: uncultured bacterium
Lineage: Bacteria
Description: bacterial SSU rRNA
Rfam family: Bacterial small subunit ribosomal RNA
Source: RNAcentral